AAGAGCAAGACUUCAGAGUUUCCCAUAGUCUGUAAGAAACUGCCGUGACUGCCUCAACCUUUUCUUUUCUAGAGGUGCUAGAAGUUACACCCAAAAUAUCACAUGAUGCCAUUUACCUGUUUCUUAUGAAUGAAGUCUUCUACUGUUGUAAGAGGUCUUCAGAGUGAAGUGGAGAUUGAGACACCAGGAGGAGACUCAUUCAGUAAUGGCACUGGGCUCCUGUGGCAAAACCCCAACAUCACUCCUCUGUCUGACAUCACUAGUGACAAGAGAGAUCUGUUAGCUGGAGGCUGCACAAUCUCCAGAGUGGCUUGCAUACAGUCCCGAGGGCCAGCUGGAUGA
RNAcentral lists this long non-coding RNA (342 nucleotides) under Numida meleagris (helmeted guineafowl). RNAcentral describes it as "lncRNA (ENSNMEG00000005546.1)". The record is from RNAcentral. Lineage: Eukaryota; Metazoa; Chordata; Aves; Galliformes; Numididae.